RNAcentral lists this ribosomal RNA (253 nucleotides) under uncultured bacterium. Its description in RNAcentral is "partial 16S ribosomal RNA". It matches the Rfam family "Bacterial small subunit ribosomal RNA", at positions 524 to 776 of the family's 1533-position model. The record is from RNAcentral.
UACGUAGGGGGCAAGCGUUGUCCGGAUUUACUGGGCGUAAAGAGCGUGUAGGCAGCCACGCAGGUCCGUUGUGAAAACUGGAGGCUCAACCUCCAGCUGUCGACGGAAACCGUGUGGCUAGAGUCCGGAAGAGGAGAGUGGAAUUCCUGGUGUAGCGGUGAAAUUCGUAGAUAUUAGGAAGAACACCAGUGGCGAAGGCGGCUCACUGGCCCGGUACUGACGCUGAGGCGCGAAAGCGUGGGGAGCAAACAGG